GAUGAACGCUGGCGGCGUGCCUAAUACAUGUAAGUCGAACGGAGUGCUAGCAAUAGUACUUAGUGGCGAACGGGUGAGUAACGCGUUGGUGACCUGCCCCGAAGAGAGGGAUAACAGUUCGAAAGGACUGCUAAUACCGCAUGAGGUCUACCUGGUUAGAGUAGGUAGACGAAAGGAGCAAUCCGCUUUGGGAGGGGCCUGCGUCCCAUCAGCUAGUUGGUAGGGUAAAGGCCUACCAAGGCAAAGACGGGUAGGGGGCCUGAGAGGGUGACCCCCCACACUGGCACUGAAACACGGGCCAGACACCUACGGGUGGCAG
RNAcentral lists this ribosomal RNA (319 nucleotides) under uncultured Chloroflexota bacterium. RNAcentral's name for it is "bacterial SSU rRNA". It matches the Rfam family "Bacterial small subunit ribosomal RNA", at positions 28 to 351 of the family's 1533-position model. The record is from RNAcentral. Lineage: Bacteria; Bacillati; Chloroflexota.